Long non-coding RNA from Mauremys mutica (yellowpond turtle), 558 nucleotides. RefSeq lists it as uncharacterized. Lineage: Eukaryota; Metazoa; Chordata; Testudines; Geoemydidae. The record is from RefSeq and is a predicted model, not a curated record. The transcript has 3 exons.
GGCAGAAAUAUCUUGGUCAAAUCCAGUCAUCUCCUCUGUCUUUCCACUGGAGGAAAAUGGAGAGCUCUCCAGAAAUGGGAAAUUCUCUCAGAGGGCAUAAUGAGGAAGGAUGUGGCUGUGACUCGUGGGCCAUUUUAUGAGCUGCACAGUUGCCUUGGGGGAGACUCUGCAAGCAUCUGAAAAUUUGGUAGGAGGGCGUAGUAUUGAGUGAAGACUAGCUCUUACAAAGGGAAAAUCUUCUGCACAGGCUUAGUACCAAGACUUUUUUCUAUUGCCUUCCUCUGGAAGUCUGCCUACUCAAAAGCGCUUAAGAUAUCCAAGUCAGCUACGUGGGAUGAAAUCCUGGCCCUGAUGAAAAUCUUGCAUGGAGUUCCUUGGGGCCAGGGUUUCUCCCUUUUGUUUUACAAAUAAGAACAAGAACAUGGAUAUAUGGAUUUUUAAACUAAUAAUACAAAACUACAUAUGUACAAGUAAUAAAUUACAGACAAGCUGCAUACUAUCAAAUUCUUCACAAAAAUAAAAUCCUGAAGGGCCCCAUUCUCCUCAACUAAUGAUCCC